GUAGAACACGUGGCCCGCGCCCCGCGGCGGGCUCGUGGCGGUGGGGUAGGGUGGGCGAGGGGCAGACGCGGUGCCCGCGCUCUUGGAGCUUAUAGGCCGGCGGCGGGACGGGCCGCAAACAAGUAAACUAACCAGCUCUUUACGCGAGCGAAGAAUGCGGCGAAGGGACCGAGGUACUCGGAGAAUAGCAGAGGGCGUCUGCUUGGUUAGGGAGCGCAGGGAAGGCCUCUCCGUAAAGAGGGGACAUUGAGGUGUGACCUGAAUUUGAGACGGGGGGGGGGGGGGGGCGUCAGGCAGGGUUAGAGGUCAGAAAGGAAACCCCACGCUCAGCAGCUGCAGGGGUGUUCCCAGCCUCAAGUUUUGUGUUGGGUGGCGGCUGAAACCUUCCACGCGAAAACCAGGCUGUGUUUCUCCGUGACUUGUCCCGAUGCCAGACGGUCAAAGAACGUGGAUGUACACAAGAAUGUGCACUUUUAAAAACCAUUUUAUUUUGAAAUAAACAUAUCACAAGUUGCAGGGAGUGUACGGAGAGGUUGUGUGUACUCUCUCUAUCCACUUUCCCCCAAUGGUUACACCUUACUUACCUGGUAGGUAUCAGAGUAUGGAAAUUGACAGUGGCACAAGGUUGUGUGUGUGUGUGUGUAGUUCUGUGCCCUUCUAUCCCAUGCUUAGAUUGGUGUAACCACCACUGCAACCAAGUUCCAGAGCUAUGCCAUCACCACCGAGAUGUCCCUUGUGAGGAGUACAUUUUUCUUCUUUUUAGUCUGCUCAGUUUUGGGUUGCUUCAUACCCAACGCUUGUGGUAUUUGGUUAAUAUGAAAUGGUAGACUUUCUGAUCUUAGCUCUGGAGGCUUGUGGCUGUCAGGAUGGAAGGUGAAGCAGGCAGGGUUCUAACAGGUUGUUAAGACAGGGGCUGAUCCUCUUUGCCAGUAUGUGAUCAAAGCCUGAUGCAGAGCUGUAAAGUUGACUUCCCGUCACAUAUGGGCAAAGAACUCUAUUUUCCUGGGUGUGGAGCACAGCUUGUGCAGUCGUUUGGUUUAUAAGGCUCCUGGUGAAGAUAAGGAGGGGAGUACAGUAAUUAAUGAUCCGUCCUCUCUAAAUCAUCCUUGAGAAAAUCCACAGCUUCAUUUUUUCCAUUCUGCAAUGAAUAAGCCCCAGAGGCAUGUACUUCCUGUUUAUGAUGUGGUUCCCAGGAAAAAGGAGCAAAGGCACCAGUAGCUGACAAAACGCUUCAGUAAAGGAGGGCUUGAUUACAAAUUGCAUAUCAUGAAAAACCAGCUUUCAUUUUGCUGGAAAAGAAAAUGUUUCCAAAUGAUUUGGAUGUUUGUACUCCUACUCGCUCUCUUUGCUCAAGUCUCAAAGCAAUCCCAGCAGCAUGACUCCUGGAGAAUUAGAGACUUCUCCCUUUGGGACAAAGACUUUGAUAAACACUUGUUGGCUAGGGUUUCAGAUUGCAUCAGUUCAGGGAACUCAUUCCAGGCCCCAGACCAAGAACAAGCUUUGACUUGAUUUCUAAAUUACUUUCAGGAUGGUAUUUCCAGAUCUUGAUUUUAAAAUGCCAAAUUUUGCUUGCCCGUGAAACUGGUGUAUUCUGGUUUUCUCACGUGUAUUCCUGUAAAAAUGUAUUAAUUAAAUAUACUUUAAAAAUAAAUAUCAUCCUCUUCCUUUGGGAGACUUUUUAAUGCUAAAUUUUCUUCCAGGAAUGAUUAGAAGUUAGAAUGGUUUUUGAGAACUUUAUGUUGUAAAAAUGGCUUAUAAGAACUUAUAUAAAAUUAAAAAUAAUUGGAAGAGAGAAUUAUUUACAAUCUUAUCACCUCUAACAGAACUAUUAUAAUUUUGGUGAAUUUUUUGCUCUAGCAGUUGCUUAAAGGAUAUUUGCAUGUAAGUUAAAAUCAUGUUUCCAUGAUUCUUUUAUGUUUUAUUUUGCUCUUAUUUCCCUAGCAUAUUUAGGGAACCAAAUUAAGUAUUGAUUGAUGGUGAUAGUGAUGAUAUUAAGACAUGGAUUUGGCUUAAAGAAAUACAUGCACCAUGAAGCCAUGUAAUUGAAUAAGUCAGAAGGAAAUUUAGUCUGUCUUUUUCCUGUGUCCACUCAAGAAAUGCUUUAAUAACAACAGGAGAAUCAUUGUUUAUUUUUUUCCUUUAAAUUGUGAAUCCAGGCCGUUCUCAAUGCCGUUAGUGACAUCAGCCAGCCAAACACUUUUGAGGGAACAUCAAUACUAACAAGUUACAUCUGUUUGUGGCAUUUUCCUCAGUAUGGGACGAACAAGUUUGAUCUGUUUGUCUAUGUGGAUUAAUUCACAUUUAUUGUAUUACAGCAGCAUUUUAAUCUUAUUAGCUCUUCUCUUUAGGAAAUUACUCCUGGAAUUGAAUCAUACCAAGAAUUUCACCGGAGGAUUUUAUACAUUUGGGCUGUGGCAGCAGACCAAUUAAACCACAGAGCUGGUCUAGAGGUGAGAAGUCCAAGAUCAAGAGUGAGCAGAGUUGGUUUCUUCUAAGGAGCCUGAGGGAAGAAUCUGUUCCAGGUCUCUCUCCUUGACUUUUAGUGUUUGUAUCAUUGUUGAUUUCCUGUGUCAAAUGCAUCUGUCUGUCUUAGAUAUUGAAGUUAUAAAGGAUAAAACCCACGACCAGAUGGCACCCCGCUAGUCUGCUCUACUUUGACUCCUAGUACCCUGGCCCUAAAGGAGCAUCUCCAACAUACGUCAGUAAAAUUGCUUUGGUUUACUGUUGCCUGGAGGAACCAAGGACUUGCAGAGUACACAAGGCUUUUCCGGCAGAAAAGAAAAAUACAAAUGCCACUUCCCAGACUAACUCACAGAGCGUGGUGUCAGAGAAAAGAGAAAAUUGAGAAAAUACUUGGACUUCAAAGAGAUCAUAUAGGACUUUUACACGGUUUCUUCCUUGGAGACUCAAGACUUAUGGCAUGGUGGUUUGGGAAGACAUGGAAAAUCUCAAGUGGG
Molecule: long non-coding RNA, 2957 nt
Organism: Panthera uncia (snow leopard)
Lineage: Eukaryota; Metazoa; Chordata; Mammalia; Carnivora; Felidae
Exons: 6
Source: RefSeq, a predicted model, not a curated record